CCCAGCAUACCCAAUUCACCCCUUUUAAUUCAAAACGACACUGUUCUUCGAUAAUUGAUCACAACCCUUGAUUGUUCCUCAUCCAACGGAUGGGAACUAAUGAGGUUCCAAGAAUAAGAGUCGAAGAUCCCCAUACCCCCCCAUCCGUCUCAUCUUCCACACAAGCCCUAAUCCCUUCGGAGACCAUAACCUAACGUCGCCACCCGAAAAUCGCCUCCAUCAGCGGCAACUCUCCAAUCCCUCUCCGAUUAACACCACAUACUCCUCGUAACCUCCUCUUUCCAAACCCAAACUCCCGUGGCUCGAAUCCCCGCCCUUAUCUUAGAAUCUUCCAAACAGUCUCGCCGCCUCCGCCGCCCAUGGGGACGACACCAUCCAAAGCCCUCCAAAAUUACACCACGGCAUCUCUUCACCGCCCUCUCUUUAAAUCUCUCAACCCUUUCCCCAGAAUCCCAAUCGAAAGUUUCGAAUUUUGAUUUGAAGUUUUGGCCAAAAUCCUAAAUUUUCCAAACUUCACCAAAUUGAUACCAUGUGAAUUCCUCACCUCCCUCGUUCCUAAUCUGUCAUCUGUGGUCCUCAAAUACCACUCAAGGUACUCGAAUUUCGAAUCUGAGAAGCGGUAGGUUUUGAGAGUUUACAUCAAAGAGUUUUCUUAUUUUUUUAUUUUUUUAUUUGAAUUAGUCUCUUCAUCUUGAUUGUUCUUCACGAUUAAUUAACUUAGGGUUUUGUUUCCAUUUUGAAUUAGUAAUUAAAUUAGUUCUUCACUGUGUGAUUUGUUGUUUGAUUAGUAGCAUGAGUUUGUACUUGUCAAUUUUUGUUAUGUUUGAUUUCUCUUGUUAAUCCAUAAUUAGUGUUUAGGUCUGUAAUUUUGUUGUUAUCUUAGUUUUAGUUUGAUAAUUUGAUUAGCGAUUCUGUAUGUUUUUCGAUUUUCUUUCUGUUUGCCAAUGUUAAUUUCUUUUUCUUUAUAAUGAUUUUGUUCCUUUUUCAAUUUUUUUGACUGCUAAUAGACGAUAAUGGUUGUUAUAUGAAUUUCCGUAGUUAUUUGAAUAUAGGAUUUGUGAUUGAAUUUGUUUGUGGGUUAAUUUGCAGAAUUAGUUAAUAUGGACCAUGGUUAGUUAGAAGGUUUAGGUUAGUUAACAGGGUUGGGGUGGGUUAGUAAUUUCAGGGUUAAUGCAGGAGAAUAAGGGUAGUUUACUCAGGGAAUAUUGUAGUAAUAGCUGCUGAAUGGAAUCCCCUAGAAUAUUCUAGAUGAGGUUCAAUUUAGAGGUCUAUGAAAUUUGGUAGUAUAACUUGGAAAACAAGUCAACUCUUUAGGGACACAUAAGCAAAAACGAAAAUUUAAAAAUGGUUGUAAUGCAAAAUAGAAAAGAUGAGGGUUGCCCUCACUUAUGCCUAUAAAAGACAUGUCUAGUGCCUUAAUUGAGAAGUUUUCAGUCUCUAAAAACUCCCCCCAAAAAGUAUUCUACAAUUUCCACAAGUUGAAAUUUAAAUUUCAGAUCCACAAACUAGAUAUGAAAUUUGAAAGCUCUUCUAGAUCUAAAAACUCUUCAAAAAAACAGCACAAAAAAACUCAAAAAUACUACUUAUCCAUUGAGGUCUCUUUAUUCUAGCUCAUCUGAACCCAAAUAGCUUGAAUAUUCCUAGUUUUGGUCAGUAAUUAAAGUUUAAAAGUUUUGUAGUAUUCUUCGAGUUGAAUUUGGUUUAGUUCGAGUUAGUUGUUUUGGUUAUUCGCUGAUGGUUUAGCUGCUGGGUUGAUUUUGGGUUUUGUGGAGCCAUUCUAGUUCUAAAAUUGCUCGUGCUUUCAUUUGAAUCUACUGCUAGUUGUUCCUGGAUUUGCUAUGGUAUUUUGGAGUCGAAAUUGAUCUAGCUGUUUUGCAUUUGGGCUGCUGUUAGCUACUGUUUUAGCUAACCUUCCUCUUCUCACUUCUAUUCUAUUUUCAGGUAUAUUCUUAUGCUCAAGUGAUGCUGAAGAUUAUAUCCACUUGUAGAAAACCAUUUUGAAGUUUAAAUGAUGAGGAAAUGCAUGUUUACACCUGGACCUUUUAUCUUUAUUGUUUAGUUUAGAAAUUUAGUUUGAUUGAUUUACUUGAACCAUAUUUCAAUUGUAUUAAUGAGACUGCGGACUGUACUGGAUUGAUAAACUUUGAGUUCGAGCUUAUUCACUUUAAAAUAGUAGCCUUAGUGUAGUAUAGUUUAAUUUAUUAUGAAGUUGUGUUUUUAAAACUUGAAACUGAGCUUGAAAAUCAGCAUGUAGGCUCUUAUCCAUGAUAAGUCCACGCCUGAUAAUCGUUUUUUCAAUAAUGACUCCAAUAGUUUAGUUCUGAAAUUAAAGGAUAUGCGUUUGAGCUUAAGGCCUAAAUAUAAAUGUUGAUUGUUUUGUAUUAAUUCCUUGAAUUCUAUGAGCAUUAGGCAGAAUCAAAUAAUCAGUAGCUUGUUUUAGUUUGUCAUUAAAAUAGGAUCUCAAAACAAAUUAGUUAACUUGCUAUUUUACCGCUAUUAGAUAGGUGAGUUGGAUCAUUUAGACUCAAAUUUAUGCUUCAUCUCUUGAACUGAGUUAUUACUGCUGCUGAAAUCGACUUAAUUAGUAGGUUGAGUUUCAAUUUGAAAAAUAAUGCCUAGACUACCUAGGUCAUAAAUUUAGGCC
RNAcentral lists this long non-coding RNA (2644 nucleotides) under Nicotiana benthamiana. RNAcentral describes it as "long non-coding RNA (NBEN_LNC006895)". The record is from RNAcentral. Lineage: Eukaryota; Viridiplantae; Streptophyta; Magnoliopsida; Solanales; Solanaceae.